UGUGUAUCUGUCAUGUUUAUAUAUUCGUGUUCAUCGUAUUCGCAAACAGGGUUCUAUCCCCUCUAUCGCAGUUACUAUAAGGUGGGGGACCUAUUACGUCUUAACGGUUAUAGUUUUUGUCCUGAAGCCUUAGAAAGUGAUCGUUUACAAAGGAGCAUAGAAUUCACGUAUCUUGAAACACUUGUGAAACAUCUUAAGAUUCAUUGUUUUUUGAUGGAAAAGAAAAAACAUAUAAAAGUGAAAUAAAUAUUCGUCAUCACGUUAUAUCUCAUAUAUUUUUUGUAUUCGAAUUAUCAGAUAAUAUAAUACGUAGAUUACUUUCAAUUAUAUCACGUGUUUUGCCUAACUUUAUAAUCAUGUUCCCCGAUUGUGAAAUGUGACAUAGUAUGAAAUCUCAAUCGAUUAUUCAAAUAUUCGAUUCACUCGUGCAUACUCGAACAUUCGGAACUAUCAUAAACAAAUUAUUAAACACAUGAACAAGAAGAUGAACAAGAAGAAAGUGAAAAAAGAUUCAAUGAAGAAGAAAUCGGAUGAAACUUGUCAACAGAUGAAAUCUAUUUCUUCUAGUUGUGCCAUUGAAAAUGAUAAUUCAACUGAUUUUGAAGCACACGAACUUUGGAUUAAUGAAACGAAAGAAUCUGUUGAAACGAAUACGAAAUCUCAAUUAAGAAGAAUUAUAAAACGUAGAAAUAAAAUAUAUCACAGAGUGCAAAAAAAAAUGAAUAUGAUAAAAAAUAUAUUACAUACUGAUUUGGAAGGAAAGACAGAUUCAGAAAAAACUGUCAAUCACGAAGAUCUUUGUAUAUUAACAAUUGAUUUAUUAAAUGAACUUUUGUUGUUAGCCAAAAAAAUUAGUCCGGAUUUAUUAUUUUUUAUAAUCAAAUACAUUAUGAAAAUGAAGAAUAUAACGAAAGAAGAUUGCAACAUAUCCAUGGGUAGUGAUUUCAUUCCCCUAUCUCCCACAAAGGGAUUACAGGAAGGACACUUGACAGGGAUGGAGCAGCCAAACAUUUGCAAACAAAUUUUGAAGAGACCUGCUGAAUCGGAAUUUGAAGGUGCAUCUAGUCCAAAGAAGCGUCACAAGAAUCCACAGCCCAAGAAUGCAGUAUGUGCUCUAAAUGAAUUAAAAAGUGGUGCAGUGUAUAAGGUUGUUGACCAAACUGGCCCCACACAUGCUCCAAUAUUUACAAUAGCAGUACAAAUUGAUGGUCAAACUUAUGAAGGCAAAGGACGUACUAAGAAAAUGGCAAAACAUGCUGCUGCUGAACUUGCGCUAAGAAAUAUUGUUCAGUUUAGAAAUACACCAGAAGUUCAUCAAGCUAUUAACACUUGUCAACCUUCUAUUCCCCUUGAACCAGAUUUUACGAGUGAUGUUACAGAACGCGAUAAUCAUCUAGUCAAUGCUUUUAAAACUUUAAGUCAAGAACCAAAGAACACAAAUAAAUUUUUAGAAAAAGGUCCUGUAGCGCUUAUUAAUGAAUUAUAUCCUGGUGUAGUAUAUAAAUGUGUUUCUGACAAUGGUGAAAGCUAUGCAAAAUUUACAAUAUCGGUGACAAUUGAUGGAGAAACAUUCGAGGGAACUGGACCAAGUAAAAAAUUAGCAAAAGCUGCGGCUAGUAAAGCAGCAUUAGCUAAAUUAAGGAACGUUCACAGUUCCUCGUUCUGUAUACCGCUUCCGGUUCGCGUUUUGCCAAACUUUCCCAGUAGUGGCCACUGGCAAGAUCAAAUGUCUUUACCUCAAAUGUUAGCUGAUAAAAUUGGGAAAAUGGUGAAUCAAAAAUUUAGCGAAUUAAUUCAAUCAAAACCGCAACAUGCUCGUCGUAAAGUUUUAGCUGGAAUUGUUCAAACUAAAGGUUCAGAUGCGGAAUUAAUAUGUGUAACAACUGGUACAAAAUGUGUCUCUGGAGAACAUCUGAGUGUCAGCGGUGGUGCAUUGAAUGAUUGUCAUGCCGAAGUGGUAGCGAGAAGAUGUUUAUGCGAAUAUUUGUAUAAACAAUUGGAACUUCAUACGGAGGACCGAACUGCGGAAUCUAUUUUAGAACCAGCAAAGAAAGGAUUUAAACUAAAACAAGGCAUUCAGUUUCAUUUGUACAUAAAUACCGCACCAUGUGGUGAUGCAAGAAUCUUUUCACCUCACGAAGAGAAUGAAUCCGUCGAUAAACAUCCAAAUCGAAGAGCAAGAGGUCAAUUGCGAACUAAAAUAGAAUCCGGAGAAGGUACCAUUCCCGUAAAAAGCAGCGAGGGUAUCCAGACAUGGGACGGUGUGCUUAUGGGCCAAAGACUGCUGACGAUGUCGUGUUCGGACAAAAUAGCUCGGUGGAAUGUACUUGGUGUGCAAGGUGCACUCUUGAGCUACUUCAUCGAGCCAAUUUACUUCCACAGCAUCGUUCUUGGCAGUCUAUUGAACCCAAGCCAUAUGUAUAGGGCGGUCUGCGGACGUAUUGAAAAUACGAUCCAAGGAUUACCGCCUCCAUACAGACUCAAUAAACCACUUAUGAGUCUUAUUACUUCGUCAGAGGUGAGACAACCUGGAAAAGCACCUAAUUACAGCGUUAAUUGGACAAUCGGUCAAUCAGAAGCUGAAGUAAUAAAUUGUACUACUGGAAAAGACGAAUUAGGAAAACCUUCUAGAAUAUCAAAACAAGGGCUGUUCAGAAGAUUUUACAACUUAUUAGGUAAACUUAAUACUAUUGAAGAUGCUGAUAAAAAUCAGUGUCGUCAUUAUUUAGAUGCAAAAUCUUCCGUACAGAAUUACUCGCUUGCCAAGCAUCAGUUGAAGGAAGCUUUCGUAAAGGCACAUCUAGGCAGUUGGGUUAAGAAACCAAUCGAACAAGAUAUGUUUGAAGUUGAUAUCUGACUAAAUCAGGGAUACAACACGCAACGAGCAACGUUCAGCCUAGAAAACGGAAAACAACGUUGGUGAACGAGAGAAGAGUCAAAGUUGGUUGUAAUUCACACGCGAGAGAAACGAGGAUAAUAAGUAUUUACAAUAUAACUAUAAUCUAGAUAUUCUCGUGACGAUUUGGCCGAGAAUAAUAGAUUAACGCGUUAACAAUGAUCAGAUUCGUAACGAAACGAGAGAAGCCGAGUAAUAGAUUUGCACGUCAAGAUACACGAUAAUGAUUACAUCGAGCUGCUUGCAUUCGAGGACGACACGGUAAGAUUCGAGUUUUACCCUCCAUUUCCCCCAAGAAUUUUAUCUCAAGUAUUCAUAUUCGUAUUCAUUUUUCUAUUCUUUUUCUAUUCUAUAUCUCACGCUGAAAAUAGAAGAUCGUGCGCAUCGAUAAGAAACUGGCAGCCUUUCUUCCUCGAUCGAUCUGAAUAUUUCUCUCGUUUUCAGAAAAUAUAAGCUCGAAUGAUACCGUGGAAUGCGAGUCUUCUUUGCAUAAGGAUAACGAGUUUUCGUUGAAGCGACCCCGCAGAUCGUGUCGUGCCUUACUACACGUUGUCAGCACUUCGAAGCUGGUCCUUCGUUCGUUGGUUCUCCGGUGAACGAGCCGAUUACCGACCAACGUUCCACGAGCAUCCUGAUCACCUCAAGUGGGAUCGAACAUCCCGGACUGUUACCACUCGUAGUCGUCCUGAUGGAAAGGGUUGGUGCAUGGUUGUUGAGCGUGUAGAUGGGUCACUAUCGGCGGUGGUUUAAACAGGUCCAAUUCUCUGAUCACCUCAUUGUAAAGCUGCGGGG
Apis dorsata (giant honeybee) is the source of this 3688-nucleotide RNA transcript. It is a transcript of the gene named double-stranded RNA-specific editase Adar, with no coding region annotated. Lineage: Eukaryota; Metazoa; Arthropoda; Insecta; Hymenoptera; Apidae. The transcript has 11 exons. The record is from RefSeq and is a predicted model, not a curated record.